AGCAAGGUCAGCUAAUUAAGCUCUUGGGCCCAUACCCCAAAUAUGUUGGUUAAACCCCUUCCCUCGCUA
This 69-nucleotide transfer RNA is filed under the name Hemitripterus villosus. RNAcentral's name for it is "tRNA-Met". It matches the Rfam family "tRNA". From Rfam's summary of the family: Transfer RNA (tRNA) molecules are approximately 80 nucleotides in length. Their secondary structure includes four short double-helical elements and three loops (D, anti-codon, and T loops). Lineage: Eukaryota; Metazoa; Chordata; Actinopteri; Perciformes; Agonidae. The record is from RNAcentral.